Long non-coding RNA from Drosophila yakuba, 1633 nucleotides. RefSeq lists it as uncharacterized. The record is from RefSeq and is a predicted model, not a curated record. The transcript has 2 exons. Lineage: Eukaryota; Metazoa; Arthropoda; Insecta; Diptera; Drosophilidae.
AUAAAUUUUAUUCAUAACCUCCAUAAAGAAAAUCUUACCAGUACUCUAUACGUUGUUUUUGGUUCGAGAGUCUAUAAAUUGGAUCCAACUUCCUAUUGGGGAAGUGGGACCUUAUAAGGCCGAAAUAUCCCGCUACCAUCCGCAGGCAAAACAUAAAUAUGCACAAACCAUAAAAAACUGACCAGAGCGAGACAUAGUGUCCUUUCUAUACCCGUCACAAUGACAUGGCAACUUGGCGAAACAAAUGACUAAAUGGAGACAAGAGCAAAAAAUGUGUGUGUUCGCCCAGGGUGCAUCCACUUAUACAACCAUAAGAGUGGGUGGUGGGCUACUGGGUGGUCAAUGGAGGCUUGCCAGGAUUGGAAGGAUUGGAUGGAUGGAUGGAUGAAGUAGUACGGAAAACGAAAGCAGCUGAAGCUGCAUGGAAAUCUUUUAAUUGCUGCCACCAGUAGCCGUAGCCAAGCAAGCGAAAGCCUUCCAUUUGUCUUCCAUCUUCCAGCCAACUGCUGACGUUGUUUGAUUUACCCCAAAUUGAGAAAGAGACAGCCUGUUCGAUUAUGUCCACUGGGUAUGAAGGAGACAGGUACACUGGGCCUGGGGCGGCGUGAAAUUGCAAAACUGUUUCACCUGAACGAUGCUGAAUGGUCCAGGUGGCCAUUCUCAGAAAACAUCUGAGACUUUUGCUCAAUAAGACAAUGACAAAUAUCCAAAACACCAACUAGUUUGGUAGUUAAAAGUACUCGACAAGGAGCGUACUAAAAAAACUUUUUUCAGCAGAGCCCAAAUCACAUAAUGCAGUCCCACUUGAUAGCAUUUUUUACAAUUAAUCUAACUUGAGGGAAAUUAUGGAAAUUAUAUUGUAUAUUUGUCUGUAACUGAACUAUCCUUAAUGCACGAGCUUUUCAUUGGAUUUUGCACGAAAAAGUACACUAGAACAAUAUGCAAACAAAUUUAAAUGUCCCAAAUGACCCUAUCGUUUAGGCGCAAGCACUUGAUAGUUUAAGGAAACCUAUGAAAAGCUUCCCAAGCUACCCGACCCAAGAUGCCCCAUCGACAGUCUUUAGCAUUGACCACAAUGAAGGCAAAACCAGAGCGGCAUUCAAUAAGUCCUUUGGCCCCAACAGAAACACCCAAUUUCCCAGCUACCUCUAUUGUUAUAGAGUAUGAAAAACUAGGGAAAGCGACGGGCGAAACAAACAAAACGAGGAAAAUACAAAAGUACCCGGGGAGGAAAACUAAAAAAGUGAGCAACAGCGGGAAAAGAACUCCAAACAAUAGGCAGCCCUCAAAGUGAGCGAUUGUUGCAACGUGUCGGGGCAUCAAUAGAGGGUCCAAGUGGACAGCGAACCAGGGGCUAAUUCCCCAAAAGUAUAACAACUCACCCAGUUUGUUAGCCUACUAAGCUAAUAGUUUCUGAAAAACACGACAAUCGUUUAAAAAGCGAGUUUUUUAUUACCAGAGAUUUAAGAGUAACUAUUAUAAUUAAAGGAACAGAAAAAUGUACUUUUAUAUACACGUUGUUUAUAGCAAUUCUAGAGAUACGAGUUUAACAUAGUUUAGUUACUUAUACUGGAAUAUUUAUAUGUGAUAUUUAAAAAGAAGGUGAAACGAUAAAGAAGAAUUUAGCAAGUAA